CCCUAUGUUCACCAAACCCAUCUUGAGUGUUUGCUGCUAAAAAGCUCAUUUUCUAGUUUCAGAAGCCAGUCCCAUUUGAAGUUCCAGUCGUGUCUGAUAACUGAAUAUGCUGGAGAUUGUUUUUGGAUGAGCGAGGAGAAUUUUUCUUGAAACCCUCCCAAACAACAUGUGGUGAUGUAGGUGCUGUUUGACAAUUUUUUAAAGGUUUUCUGAACCCAAGAUUUCAACUAUUUUCUGCAAUUCUCCAGCUGUGACCCUUGGAGAGUCUUUAGCCACUCAAACUCUCCUCCUCACCGUGCAUUAGGACGAUAUAGACACAUGUUCUCUUCCAUGCAGUUAUGUAAAAUUUUCUGUUGAUUGGAAAUUCUUAAUUAUUGCCCUGAUGGUGGAAAUGGGAAUUUUCACUGCUCUAGCUCUUUUCUUAAAGCCACUUCACUAAUUUGUGACGCUCAAUUAUCUUUUGCUGCACAUCAGAAAUAUAGUUUUUCUCAUUGUGAUGGAUGAUUAAGGGAAUCUGGGCUUUGUUUUCCCUCCUCUUUAUAUUUCUGUGAAACAGGAAGUCAUGGCUGGAUAAUUUCAUGUUCAUAAUCAUCCUGGAGUGCUCAAAAUUGUGAAUAUGAGUGGGAAUAUACUUCAGAGACAAUUUACUCAUAAGAAUUUCUAUAGGGGUGCCAAUAAUUGUGUCCAACGUGUAUUUGAGAAAAAAAAAAAAACAUUUAUUUCAUAAUGAUAUUUCCCCCCAUUUUAAAUUCUUAUUAUCCAAUUAAAGGUUAGAUUGUUGUGAUUUUUUUUUAAAUAAAAGAUCAAAAGGAUUAACAAUGCGGAUUAAUUUUCACAGCCUUCUUUGAUCAUAUUUACCAAGGGUGCCGAUAUUUUUGCCAAUGACUGUAUAUAUUUGGUGGCUUUUGAAGAGGACUCUGAAUAAAAAAGCCAGUCAACUCAAAAUGUGAAUGUUGUGUUUCAGGAGGAGAAAUAAAGGGAACCCCAUCAUGGAGACGAUGUGUCACAAUCCAGCGCUCCCGUUUCAUGGUCAAAAUCUGACGGACUACAACAACAGCGUCUGUCUGAUGAAGCAGGUGAAGGGCAUAGAGGACGAUUUCUACAUCUGCUCCUGCAAUCAGGAAGAGUGCAACGAUAAACUCUUCUUCACUGACGGAAGUUGUGUGAAGCCAGACGAUCAGAUUGGAAAUGGAGAUUUCAGCGAAUCUUUACAGUUUUGUGUGCAGUAAAAUCAGACACGACAGUAUGACAUUUUAGAUAGACAGAACAUCUCUCCACAUCGCCUCAUUUUCAUUCAUUGAAAAUGAAAUAAUUGUGUCUACCCAUGUUUUCAUUAUGAAUUGUUUAAUGGAAUACUUUUUUAAUUGGAGAAUUAAAAAUCUGUUUUUCACUAAAAGUAAUGCAUUUAUGUAUGUGUGUGUACAUAUAUAUGGUGUGUAUUUAUUUAUUUUUUUGUGAUCAACUUUUUAGUAACUAAUUUUUUAUUUAUUUUAUUUAUUUUUUUACAUAGGACAUAUAACAUCAUAACAUCCAUUCAGGAUAAAAUGCAAAAACAACAACAACAGACAUAAUCAAUUUACAUAUUCAAAUGAGCGAGAGAAGGGAGGGAAACAUAUUCUUUUAUAUAAUCCAGUAUUUUAGAAAAAAAAAAAAAAAACACUGCCAAACAUUAAUAGUACUAGGUUUGGCCUUAAUAAUUAGUGCUGUUGUACCUUCACAGGCCACUAUUUUAAGAAGACUAUGGAUCCAAUACUUUUUUCCAUACAUGUGUGGUGUAAACCAGUUCUGUAUUACAGUUGUAAAACAAGCAAACAACAUUAUUUUUUGUACAGCUUAGCGACUGGUGCUACAAACUAAUCUUCAGGCAUCUCUGGUAGCACAAUCAGUUUAGCCACAGGGCGGAUGUAUGUGUUGCCUUUAAUGUCCACUUCAGCAGCUCUGAUUGCACCAUCAUUACUUGGUAGGACUCUGGUUACCUUACCGACAGGCCAUUGGGCUCUGGGAAUCUGCAAUCAAUACAACCUGAUCGACUGCUAGGUUUGGUGUGAUGUUCUGCCACUUCUGUCGAAGCUGAAGACUUGGUAGGUAGUUUCUGAGGAACUGGGUCCAGAAGUGAUCGGCGAUCACUUGGCUGUGUCUAUAGCGACACCGUCCAAGCAGAUUACUUGGUCCAUAGACAGCCUGAGGUAGGGAAGCAUCCCGCCGCCCCAUAAGCAGCAAUAAUCAGGU
Molecule: long non-coding RNA, 2229 nt
Organism: Cyprinus carpio (common carp)
Lineage: Eukaryota; Metazoa; Chordata; Actinopteri; Cypriniformes; Cyprinidae
Source: Ensembl